RNAcentral lists this ribosomal RNA (375 nucleotides) under uncultured bacterium. RNAcentral's name for it is "bacterial SSU rRNA". It matches the Rfam family "Bacterial small subunit ribosomal RNA", at positions 335 to 699 of the family's 1533-position model. The record is from RNAcentral.
ACUCCUACGGGAGGCAGCAGUGGGGAAUAUUGCACAAUGGGCGCAAGCCUGAUGCAGCCAUGCCGCGUGUGUGAAGAAGGCCUUCGGGUUGUAAAGCACUUUCAGUCGUGAGGAAGGUAGUGUAGUUAAUAGCUGCAUUAUUUGACGUUAGCGACAGAAGAAGCACCGGCUAACUCCGUGCCAGCAGCCGCGGUAAGUACGGAGGGUGCGAGCGUUAAUCGGAAUUACUGGGCGUAAAGCGCAUGCAGGUGGUUUGUUAAGUCAGAUGUGAAAGCCCGGGGCUCAACUCGGAAUAGCAUUUGAAACUGGCAGACUAGAGUACUGGUAGAGGGGGUUAGGAAUUUCGAGGUGUAGCGGUGAAAUGCGUAGAGAUCU